This is a long non-coding RNA of Fundulus heteroclitus (mummichog), 886 nucleotides long. RefSeq lists it as uncharacterized. NCBI's taxonomy places the organism in Eukaryota, Metazoa, Chordata, Actinopteri, Cyprinodontiformes, Fundulidae. The record is from RefSeq and is a predicted model, not a curated record. The transcript has 5 exons.
UUCAUUAUCUGCAUUAUUAAGUAUAGAAAAGGGAUGUACAAAGAUUUUUCGUUUUUUUUUUUUAUUCUGGGAUCAUAAGGAUUUGAAGGAUAUAUAUUAGGAUCCAAUAGAUGGCAGUAAUGCAACAACUAUGGAUGCAAGCUGUCGUUAAAUCCUAAAGAAGAAGAAAAAGAAGAAGAAGAAGAAGAAGAAGAAGACAACGACUUUACUGUGUUUGGAUUUUACUGGUAUGCCGGACAACGUCUCGCGUUCAACUCCUCUAGGACGCGAUCCACAACUUUCAGCCAGUCCGCAGACUGACGAGAAGAAACUGCUGAUUGCUAUCAGUGGACUGUCUCGUCAGCUUACUCAACAUACUGCCGACAUGAAUGAGAGGUUCACUCAACUGCAGAAUUCGGUAAACUCCAGGUUGCUGUCCAUAGAGGACAAGAUGGCGGCUCUGCAGUCGAAGAACUGUGCUGGAGAGACUAACUCCAUCAAGAGAAGACGGAUGCACAAAAGCUUGCGUACGCCGUCUUCACAACUCGGAGACAAAUUGCAGGCGCUAUGAACCGGCGCAAGGACUAAGCACGCCUCAUAAUGAGGCAGUUACCUCCUAUCUGCUCGGAGCAAUAACUGCAAGCCUCGAUUUACACUAUAUUGAUAAAGACGACAUUGUGUCCGCCUGUAAGACGUAUUACGAGACGGUACGCAGGAGCUUCAUAUAUACGCAGCCAGAGAACUCAAUGCGGGCGGAAGCUGCCAAGAAUUCAGCUCGGAGUCGAGCGAGAAGAAAGAGGCUGCAGGAAUCGAGGCAGAGCGUGCUAGCUGAUGAGGAAGUGGAACUCUGGAUGUCCGCCACCGUCGACCUCAUGUCUGACGAGGAAGAUGGCGUCGUUGGCGGGGU